This 357-nucleotide unclassified non-coding RNA is filed under the name soil metagenome. RNAcentral describes it as "partial contains 5.8S ribosomal RNA, internal transcribed spacer 2, and large subunit ribosomal RNA". The stretch from base 1 to 120 matches the Rfam family "5.8S ribosomal RNA", at positions 35 to 154 of the family's 154-position model. The record is from RNAcentral.
GAUGAAGAACGUAGCGAAAUGCGAUAAGUAAUGUGAAUUGCAGAAUUUAGUGAAUCAUCGAAUCUUUGAACGCAUAUUGCGCCCGCCAGCACUCUGGCGGGCAUGCCUGUUCGAGCGUCAUUUCAACCCUCAGGCCUCGUGUCUGGCGUUGGGGCGCUGCGGCCCUCCCGCAGGCCCCCGAAUAUAGCGGCGGACCCGUCCGGCCCUGAGCGCAGUAGGGAGUAAACUCGAACGCUCCGGCGGCCGUGGCGCGGUUAUUCCUUCCGCCUUGUAGCGCUAAUGGCGCCACCCCCAAUAAGUUGACCUCGGAUCAGGUAGGACUACCCGCUGAACUUAAGCAUAUCAAUAAGCGGAGGA